UACGUAGGGGGCGAGCGUUGUCCGGAUUUAUUGGGCGUAAAGAGCGUGUAGGCGGCCAGGUAGGUCUGCUGUGAAAACUCGAGGCUUAACCUCGAGCUGUCGGCGGAAACCAUCUGGCUAGAGUCCGGAAGAGGAGAAUGGAAUUCCCGGGUGUAGCGGUGAAAUGCGCAGAUAAUCGGGAAGAACACCCGUGGCGAAGCGGUUCUCUGGGACGGUACUGACGCUGAGACGCGAAAGCGUGGGGAGCGAACAGG
Molecule: ribosomal RNA, 254 nt
Filed under: uncultured bacterium
Lineage: Bacteria
Description: partial 16S ribosomal RNA
Rfam family: Bacterial small subunit ribosomal RNA
Source: RNAcentral